UCAGGACGAACGCUGGCGGCGUGCCUAAUACAUGCAAGUCGAGCGGACAGAUGGGAGCUUGCUCCCUGAUGUUAGCGGCGGACGGGUGAGUAACACGUGGGUAACCUGCCUGUAAGACUGGGAUAACUCCGGGAAACCGGGGCUAAUACCGGAUGGUUGUUUGAACCGCAUGGUUCAGACAUAAAAGGUGGCUUCGGCUACCACUUACAGAUGGACCCGCGGCGCAUUAGCUAGUUGGUGAGGUAACGGCUCACCAAGGCGACGAUGCGUAGCCGACCUGAGAGGGUGAUCGGCCACACUGGGACUGAGACACGGCCCCAGACUCCUACGGGAGGCAGCAGUAGGGAAUCUUCCGCAAUGGACGAAAGUCUGACGGAGCAACGCCGCGUGAGUGAUGAAGGUUUUCGGAUCGUAAAGCUCUGUUGUUAGGGAAGAACAAGUGCCGUUCAAAUAGGGCGGCACCUUGACGGUACCUAACCAGAAAGCCACGGCUAACUACGUGCCAGCAGCCGCGGUAAUACGUAGGUGGCAAGCGUUGUCCGGAAUUAUUGGGCGUAAAGGGCUCGCAGGCGGUUUCUUAAGUCUGAUGUGAAAGCCCCCGGCUCAACCGGGGAGGGUCAUUGGAAACUGGGGAACUUGAGUGCAGAAGAGGAGAGUGGAAUUCCACGUGUAGCGGUGAAAUGCGUAGAGAUGUGGAGGAACACCAGUGGCGAAGGCGACUCUCUGGUCUGUAACUGACGCUGAGGAGCGAAAGCGUGGGGAGCGAACAGGAUUAGAUACCCUGGUAGUCCACGCCGUAAACGAUGAGUGCUAAGUGUUAGGGGGUUUCCGCCCCUUAGUGCUGCAGCUAACGCAUUAAGCACUCCGCCUGGGGAGUACGGUCGCAAGACUGAAACUCAAAGGAAUUGACGGGGGCCCGCACAAGCGGUGGAGCAUGUGGUUUAAUUCGAAGCAACGCGAAGAACCUUACCAGGUCUUGACAUCCUCUGACAAUCCUAGAGAUAGGACGUCCCCUUCGGGGGCAGAGUGACAGGUGGUGCAUGGUUGUCGUCAGCUCGUGUCGUGAGAUGUUGGGUUAAGUCCCGCAACGAGCGCAACCCUUGAUCUUAGUUGCCAGCAUUCAGUUGGGCACUCUAAGGUGACUGCCGGUGACAAACCGGAGGAAGGUGGGGAUGACGUCAAAUCAUCAUGCCCCUUAUGACCUGGGCUACACACGUGCUACAAUGGACAGAACAAAGGGCAGCGAAACCGCGAGGUUAAGCCAAUCCCACAAAUCUGUUCUCAGUUCGGAUCGCAGUCUGCAACUCGACUGCGUGAAGCUGGAAUCGCUAGUAAUCGCGGAUCAGCAUGCCGCGGUGAAUACGUUCCCGGGCCUUGUACACACCGCCCGUCACACCACGAGAGUUUGUAACACCCGAAGUCGGUGAGGUAACCUUUUAGGAGCCAGCCGCCGAAGGUGGGACAGAUGAUUGGGGUGAAGUC
Molecule: ribosomal RNA, 1482 nt
Filed under: Bacillus velezensis
Lineage: Bacteria; Bacillati; Bacillota; Bacilli; Caryophanales; Bacillaceae
Description: bacterial SSU rRNA
Rfam family: Bacterial small subunit ribosomal RNA
Source: RNAcentral